AUUGAACGCUAGCGGGAUGCUUUACACAUGCAAGUCGAACGAGUGGCGGACGGGUGAGUAAUAUAUAGGAACGUGCCCAGUAGCGGGGGAUCAAUACUCGAAAGAGUGGCUAAUACCGCAUAACAUUGGAGAGGACGAUAUCUGAUUAGCUAGUUGGUGGGGUAAAGGCGCACCAAGGCAACGAUCCGUAGCUGGUUUGAGAGGACGACCAUCCACACUGGGACUGAGACACGGCCCAGACUCCUACGGGAGGCAGCAGUGGGGAAUUUUGGACAAUGGGGGAAACCCGGAUCCAGCCAUCCCGCGUGUAUGAGAAGGCCUUCGGGUUGUAAAGUACUUUUGGCAGAGAAGCGGUAUCUGCAGAAUAAGCACCGGCUAACUACGUGCCAGCCGCCGCGGUAAUAC
RNAcentral lists this ribosomal RNA (405 nucleotides) under uncultured bacterium. Its description in RNAcentral is "partial 16S ribosomal RNA". It matches the Rfam family "Bacterial small subunit ribosomal RNA", at positions 30 to 526 of the family's 1533-position model. The record is from RNAcentral.